Molecule: long non-coding RNA, 492 nt
Filed under: Marmota monax (woodchuck)
Lineage: Eukaryota; Metazoa; Chordata; Mammalia; Rodentia; Sciuridae
Source: RNAcentral
CGUUUCCAUCUGCUUCUCGCCGCCGUUUCCUUUCUCUUUCUUUUCAGGCAGGCUGGCUUCUCAGCCAUGGUGCCUUCCAGCCGUGCAUUAGGGUUAAACCCAAAGGCUGAGCGUGGACGGGUGUCCCUGUCCACUCAGCAUUCCCAGGAAGCAGCGUCUGCUCACACUGCUGGUGGGUCCACCCAGUGUGUCAACAGCAGGCAUAACCGAAGAGCUGCUGGCCUUCUACAGCGGGGUGUCCUGGAGACAAGGGGUCUUCCUUUGCCCACCUGCUUCCUUACUGUGCGUUCGGUGAGUCUGCAUGCCCCUGAAUUAUUAGGCUGAAAAUAAAGAUGUAGCUUUAGUUCAAUAAACCUCUGAGAGAUGGGAAGAUCUAGAUGUUUAUUAUAUUACAUUCAAUAUUACAUUUAGUAUAAAUGGAAAAAUGUUGUCUAGUACAUAGAUCUUUCCCUCAUUAAAUAUUCAAUUACUAAAUGCAAGUAAAUAAUUGCC